RNAcentral lists this ribosomal RNA (266 nucleotides) under uncultured bacterium. Its description in RNAcentral is "partial 16S ribosomal RNA". It matches the Rfam family "Bacterial small subunit ribosomal RNA", at positions 793 to 1055 of the family's 1533-position model. The record is from RNAcentral.
GUCCAUGCCGUAAACGUUGGGCACUAGGUGUGGGGAACAUUCCACGUUUUCCGCGCCGUAGCUAACGCAUUAAGUGCCCCGCCUGGGGAGUACGGCCGCAAGGCUAAAAACUCAAAGGAAUUGACGGGGGCCCGCACAAGCGGCGGAGCAUGCGGAUUAAUUCGAUGCAAACGCGAAGAACCUUACCAAGGCUUGACAUGUUCCAGACCGCCUCAGAGAUGGGGUUUCCCUUCGGGGCUGGUUCACAGGUGGUGCAUGGUUGUCGU